This 264-nucleotide long non-coding RNA is filed under the name Gossypium raimondii (Peruvian cotton). RNAcentral's name for it is "long non-coding RNA (GRAI_LNC001290)". Lineage: Eukaryota; Viridiplantae; Streptophyta; Magnoliopsida; Malvales; Malvaceae. The record is from RNAcentral.
AGUUCAGACACAAUAGUUUUACAUAUAUGGAGCCUCGCUUAGAGAAUGAUUUGAUUCAACUAUUUGAACUGUACAACUAUUAGAUAAAGCGCAAAUUACCUUUUACACACACGAAUAUUUGCAUCCCCAAAGUUGAACUCAAAUUGUUACAGACCACUCUCACGAAUACCUCACAAUACAAUCAAUAAAAUUCACUAAAGAAUACCUAAAAAAGUGUUACAAAAUAACCACAAGAAAACACAACAAAAACGUCGACAAAGACAC